RNAcentral lists this ribosomal RNA (1490 nucleotides) under metagenome. RNAcentral describes it as "bacterial SSU rRNA". It matches the Rfam family "Bacterial small subunit ribosomal RNA". The record is from RNAcentral.
UGGCUCAGGACUAGCGCUGGCGGUGUGUCUUAGACAUGCAAGUCGAGCGGUAUGUGCCGUUGUAGCAAUACAGUGGCACAUUUAGCGGCGAACGGGUGAGUAAUACAAGGGCAGCCAUCCCUCAGGAGGAGCACAACUCAUCGAAAGGUGGGCUAAUACUCCAUGUGCUGCGGCGGAGGCAUCUUCGCCGCAGGAAAAGGCGCCGCAAGGUGCUACCUUUGGACGGGCUCUUGUCCUAUCAGCUUGAUGGCGGGGUAACGGCCCACCAUGGCGUAGACAGGUAGCCGGCGUGAGAGCGUGACCGGCCACAGGGGAACUGAGAUACGGUCCCCACUCCUACGGGAGGCAGCAGUCUAGAAAUUUGGGCAAUGGGCGAAAGCCUGACCCAGCGACACCGCGUGGAGGAUGACGCCUUUCGGGAUGUAAACUCCUUACAGGGGGAACGAGGCCAUUGCGGAGUAACUGCCGCAAUGGUGACGGUACUCCCAGAGGAAGCCCCGGCUAACUACGUGCCAGCAUCCGCGGUGAUACGUAGGGGGCGAGCGCUGUCCGGAUUUACUGGGCGUAAAGGGUGUGUAGGCGGAUCGGCCGGUCGAUGGUGAAAGCUCACGGCUCAACCGGGAAAGUGCUGUCGAUACUACCGAUCUAGAGGGCAGGAGAGGAAGCUGAACUUCCGGUGUAGCGGUAAAAUGCGUAGAUAUCGUAAGGAACGCCAAUAGCGAAGGCAGGCUUCUGGAAUGUUCCUGACGCUGAAACACGAAAGCUAGGGGAGCAAACAGGAUUAGAUACCCUGGUAGUCCUAGCUGUAAACUAUGUACAUUAGGCGUGGGGGGUAACCCCCGUGCCGGAGCUAACGCGUUAAAUGUACCGCCUGGGGACUACGGCCGCAAGGUUGAAACUCAAAGGAAUUGACGGGGACCCGCACAAGCGGUGGAGGAUGUGGUUUAAUUCGAUGCUACGCGAAGAACCUUACCUGGGCUUGACAUGUAAGUGGUAGGGACCCGAAAGGGAACCGACUGGGGUUUUCCCCUGGAGCUUACACAGGUGCUGCAUGGCUGUCGUCAGCUCGUGCCGUGAGGUGUAUGGUUAAGUCCCGCAACGAGCGCAACCCCUGUCCUUAGUUGCAAACCAGUGAUGGUGCACUCUAAGGAGACUGCCUCCGUCAAGGAGGAGGAAGGUGGGGACAACGUCAAGUCAUCAUGGUCUUUAUGCCCAGGGCUACACACGUCCUACAGUGGCCGUCACAGUGGGUUGCUACAUCGCGAGGUGAUGCUAAUCCCAAAAAAGCGGCCAUGGUUCGGAUAGUAGGCUGCAACUCGCCUACUUGAAGAUGGAAUCGCUAGUAAUCACUGAUCAGCAUGCAGUGGUGAAUACGUUCCCGGGUCUUGUACACACCGCCCGUCACGCCAUGGGAGUUGGCAAUGCCCAAAGUCCCUCCUUGCGAGGGCCUAAGGCAGGGCCGAUGACUGGGGCGAAGUCGUAACAAGGUA